Molecule: long non-coding RNA, 3883 nt
Organism: Corvus hawaiiensis (hawaiian crow)
Lineage: Eukaryota; Metazoa; Chordata; Aves; Passeriformes; Corvidae
Exons: 7
Source: RefSeq, a predicted model, not a curated record
UCCCCUCCCCCGGCCCCGCGGUUGCUGAGAGGGGGAGGCUGCCACUCGUUCGUUUUCUUAUCAUAAAAAAGGGCUUUUUGGUGGAAGCUGACAAGCUUAGGUUUGGGCAUCCAUAUGUUCCUUUCUAAAGAAGGCUAAGUCUCAGGAGGCUCAAGUAAUUGUGGUCAUCUUCUGCACCAGUGUGAUUUAUUUAGUCAUACUGUGUGAUUUCCUCCUCCUUGUAUCUGGGAUUCUCUCCACAGAAGCUGGACCAUUCAAGACUGUAGAAGCCAUCCAUAUGGCCAUGUGAUUGCUGCUGCUGCUGCUUCACGUGAUCCAGCUUUCUGGCACAAAGGCUCUGAGCUCGUACAGAUGAUUGCUAAACGUCAUGAGACUCUGAAAGUGAAUCUCUUGAAGAAAAACUUGAAAGCCUGGAUGCUGAAGAUCUCAUGUCUCAUCUGUCACAACCAGAAACCCACCUAGAUGAGGAGAAAAGAUCAAGUUUUUCUGCCAUUAUAUUGCAUACUCUUUCCAGUUUAAGACUUGAGUUGCUGUGGGGAAAGGAAGGUGCCAGAGAUACUGCAGAGCCCUGAGCAGGGUCAUUUGCCUUGCUUUUGCAGAAACAACAGGAUGGCACUGGGACCUGAACUCUGACUCUCUGCUGUUUCUGCUGUUUUGGAUGCUGAUGCUGCUCUUUCACAACAGCUGAGUUAGAUCCAGAUGGACAUGAAGCUGUGGCAGUUACCAGAGAAGCCCAUGUGAACUCAUCCAUCCAUUUGCUGACCAUUUGAAAUGCUGGAUGUCUUCUUGUUAUUUAUCUGUUCCUUUCACAGAGGCUCAUAUAUGAACAGUAAAUUAGCUGAGAGUGCACAGUGACAUACUCUGAAACUUUAUGUGUGCAUAUUUAAGAACCUCCAUAAAAAUGCAUUAGGAUUUUGCAGGAGUUGGGGGUGGGUUGCUGUAUUGGUCUGUACAAAGGGAACCUAAGGUGCAGAUUGGUAGGGAAUCAAACCUUUUAGUGCCCAACCUUUUAGAAUAUGAGUGAUAAUGAUAGAUUUUGAUCAUUAGCAGCAUCUCAGUUUGUGACAGCAUUAGCUUCAACAAUUUAUUGUCUUGAUGCAGUUCAUGGUAGCAGAGUGGCGAAGAAAAAUGAGAAGUAAGGGUUAAUUUCUAGCUGCCUUUAAGCUGAUGGCAGAACUCCUGAUGACUUCAAGGGUGAAGAUCUCACCUCAGGUUUCAGCUGGUGUAAGUUGACAUUCCUCCAUAUACUUCAAUAAAAUCAAUGAAGCCCUGAUAAUUUAUUGCAAGUGAGAAUCCAGCCCUAAGGCUAUUAAGGACUAUAAUGUAUAAAGCUAUAAUUAUGAAACCAUAAUUCCAUCAAGAGCUUCUGGCGAUAUCAUGGACUAGAGUUAAGUGAAUUGUGCAAAUAAAUGUAAUGGUCUUGCAGUGCAGUAGAAAUACCUCUCUCUCUCUCUAGAUAGAACUCUUAGCACAAAGAUAUUAAAAUAUCUUUUAUCCAAUCAUAGCAAUAAUUGGAAAAGAAAUAUCAGCUGCAGAUAUGAGAUUUCCAGGGCACUGAAUCAAAACAUGCAUUUUGCAGCAACCACUUCAAAAUUGUGGAGGGUUCUCUGCACUACUGUGAUAACUCAAAGCAUAAAAUCUCCUCUUGAUUUUUAUGUUAUUUAUCACUAUCAAUCAGCUUUGAUAGUAUGGCUCAAAUUUCAAUGCUGAAUGCACCCAGAUAGCACAUGGGUGUUUCACCUUGUAUAACACAGCAAGGAAAGGAUGAGAGUAAAUAGCCUCCAGUUACACCAGAAGAGAUUUAAUUAGAUAUUAGCAAAAAAUUUUUCACAGAAAGGGUUGUAAAGCAUUGGAACAGACUGCUGAGGGAAGUGGUGAAGUCACCAUCCCUGGAAGUGUUCAAAAAGUAUGGAUAUGACACUAAAGGCCAUGAUUUAACGAUGAACAUGUCAGUGGUUCUAGGCUGAUGGUUGGACCUGAUGAUAUUAAAUGUCUUUUCCAAACGUAAUGAUUCGUGAUUCUAAAGCAAGCACUGUGUGUGCAUAAAGAUGUGCCCGAAUGGCAGGAGUGGAUGGAGCCCUGGGAAGGGAAGAAGACUCUGUAGGUGUUUGGGAUGGAGGAGCAUGGAUUGGGUAGGAUGAAACUGAUAAUCUACUCUUCUACCUUUUUUCACCCCUCUUUCUUUCUUUUUUGUAAAUCUGUACCUGAAUAAUUAGUCUCCCAAUUAGACAAAGACCUAUACAAAUACUCAAUCAUCCUGUUCUUGCAUAUGCAAGAUACAAACUGGGUAUAUAAAGAUGUCUGUGCACCAGUGGGUCUUUCUUCAUUUAAAAAUCAGAUCUCUGCUGGUCUCUCUGCAGCCUUUUGGGUCUCUGAAGCUGCAGGGAAACCCAGAUGUAAUUAAUCUUCACCGGGAAGAUUUGUCUGAAUUACAGUCCUGAAUCUCAAGCAGUCUGGAGCUUGAGGAAACACAUGGAUCAAGAUUCAGUUUAGAUUAGAUGUGAUAAUUCUGAGGAUACAGCUCUCUCUUGACUAGGAAAAGCACACUUUUUGUGAGUCAGUCUCUUAAAAUCAAGGCAGAUAGAGGAAGAAAUGAAAAAAAAAGAAAUUUUGCAAAAGUGAAAAGCUUUGAGCAGGAUAUUUUCCUCUUAUUUGCUCAUGUAACAGGAUUUUUCAAACAACAUAGUCAGCUGUUGAGCAUGAGAUAUCACUCACAGCUCCAGGUAUUGGUUGAAAAGUGACUUCAGAUUCAAGCCUCCCUUGUGCCACAGUAAACUUUAUUUUGUCUGUAUUUGCUCAGUUGAAACUGUAAAGAAAAUAAAUGACAGAUUUCCUCUGUGGAAAAGUCCUGCAGAAUUUAACAUUGGUGAAAUCAUGAGGAUCUUCAAGGAUAGGGAACUGUAAAAAAAAUCAGAACUCCCCCUGAAAUUCAGCAGAUUUCCUGUCUAUUCUACAGUGUUUUAUAUGCAAUUUCCUGUUAAAAUUAAAAAUAUUAAAAAGCCCUAAAAUAGGCAUUAACAAGGCUAGAAUUUCCUAUUAAGUUGUGAAGGACUUUUCCAUCGGGACUGUGGCAGGUUAACUGCAGCAUCUGAAAAGUUUGGAUCUGGCAUGUGGUGGACUGAGUGGCAGUGUGAGCAUCUGCCCUGGAAGGUCUGUAGCAGCAUCCCUCAGUGCAACCCCUGUUCCAUUUUCUGCUAAUGAAACAACCCCAGCCAGGCUCUGAUUCAAUAACCUGUUCACCAUGGCCUCAAAUCAGUCUCUGGAAAAUUUCACUUCUGAGUCUCAUUGAAGUCACUGAAAAUGAGGCACAUAGUGGAAGUAAAUUACUUGUUUAUGCUGUACUUUGCAGUGCCAGGCUUAGGCUUGAUCCUAAAAUCUAAGUGCAGCUUUUUGCUGCCUUCAAUGGGCUCUAGGGCAGGUGCUACAACAGCAUCUCCCCACACUAGGAUACAUAACAGGUUAUUCCACCCACUGGGUUUCUCACAGGAUGCAGAAGAAGUGAGUGUAGCCUGAGGCUGAAGACAUAUGCACAAGUGAGAUAAGGAUCAUAUAUGGGAAUUUGCAGUGGGAUUGCCCUACUUUAUACAGCUGAAGAUCUAAUCCUGGCUAUCUAAUAAAACAGUUAAUCUUCAAAAUCUUCUUGAUAGACUGUGCAAAAGGAGCCCAAAACUGGCAAUUAGCUCUGUUUUUAAAAUACUCCAGGCAUACAUUUUAAAUAUCUGCACGUAAUUCUGGGGAAGUGAUUCAUAGCAAUGCAGGGGAACCUGAGGACGGCUCAGAAUAAAUUGGACAGAUGACAGAAACCCAAUCUUUAUUGAAAUAUCAGAUAAGGAAGUGUCAUGGUUUAACCCUAGACAGCAACUAAACUGCUCACUCACUCCCC